AACCAAAUGGGAUUCCUUAAGUAAUUGCGAAUGAACAAGGACAUGCUUAGCUUGACAAUUGGAGCCUCUGGCUUCGACUUGUAUUUUUGAAAUGUAUUACCAACAGAGGUGCAGGUGUCAGCCUAUUGAAAGAAAGCGUCAAUGAGGGUGAGAAUCCUGUUUGUCAUGUGCAAUCCUCUGUGCACGGUGUAUGUUUGCUGAGUCACACUCCUUGGCAUUGGAAUGCAAAGUGGGUGGUAAGUUUCAUGUAAAGGUAAAUAUAGGAUUGAGACUGAUAGCACACAAGUACCAUGAGGGAAAUAUGAAAAGGACUUUGAAAAGAGAAUUAAAUGAGUUUGUAUUUGCUGAACAGAAAAUAAACAGAUUUGAUGUUGCUUGGUGAGAUUGUGGUGCUUGCUUGACAAUAGGUUUUGAUUGUGGGUGUGAUGAUUCUUGCUUUGCUUGCCAGUUUCUAUUUGUACAUUUGAUUACCCUUGCACAUGAAUGGUAAUUUUCCUGCGGGGUUUGGAUUGCAUGUGUUUGUGAUGAUUUGUGUUUUGAUACAUGUGUCUGGUGCUUUUGUAAUUGCUCAUUUCUUGAAGCUGGGCCUACCCUACUAGAGCUUACAAGCCCUGGCACACAAUUGCUGGCAAAAUGCUUCUGCUUGACCCGUCUUGAAACACGGACCAAGG
This 671-nucleotide ribosomal RNA is filed under the name Alexandrium affine. RNAcentral describes it as "LSU rRNA". It matches the Rfam family "Eukaryotic large subunit ribosomal RNA", at positions 63 to 671 of the family's 3401-position model. Lineage: Eukaryota; Dinophyceae; Gonyaulacales; Pyrocystaceae. The record is from RNAcentral.